Long non-coding RNA from Pogonomyrmex barbatus (red harvester ant), 1172 nucleotides. NCBI's taxonomy places the organism in Eukaryota, Metazoa, Arthropoda, Insecta, Hymenoptera, Formicidae. The record is from RefSeq and is a predicted model, not a curated record.
UGAAUUGAUUCGUUGGUUCGAAUAAAUUCCAAUCUGGGAAAUGAAAUGUAUUUUUCGCCUGUACAGCAAUACAACGCCAUACAACAGCUAUUGAAAUAUUCCUGACAAAAGGAUUGGAUAAAAUCUAGAUGCAACGUAUGUUGCGGUAUAUUGGAAGCAAGAUAUUUCACUACAUCCUUGUAAAAUUUCGUAUUGUUAGCAGAACCUUUUGCAAGCAGCCGACGCGAAGACGCUAACUAAGCGCACAUGAUUUUUCUUCAGUGUGCGUGGUUGCUAAUUUUCUCGCGCGUCGGCAUCGUUGGUUGACCACGUGUAUCGCUCAAUCACUUCAUCAGUCGACUGUCAAAUGUCGAAGUGUGCAUGUCUUCGCAGAGAGGAGCCUUUCGUCGCCAAAAAUAUAUGUAGCAGCUAUCGUGCAAAGUUUGUCAUAUCAGACUGGCAGCAAAAACGCAGCAGAAAUCGAGCACAGUGUGUCGUCACGACGUGACGAUAAAAUUGCGACAGAUAUAUGGCGCGACCUACUUUAUCAGCUGUGUCGGCAGAAACGCAGCAGAAAUCGAGUACAGUGUACCGUCACGAUGUAACGGCAAAAACGCAGCAGAAAUCGAAUAGAGUAGUAACAUAACUUGUUGACAAAUUAACAACAGAAAUCGAGCAAAUUCUGUUUCAUACUACACUUUGUUAACUAUCUUGUUGGGCAAUUACGUCUUGCAUCAAGCGCAUAAAAAUACGUAAAUAAUAAAUGCAUGUUUAAAUGUUGAAUAUGAUUUCGCUUAUAUAGAAAAUUUGAUAAAUUUUGCAUGCGAGAAACAGAUAUCCCGAGAUGAAACAUCUUUCCAAAAUACUAUAAUAAAGUUACGUUUUAUUGAGUAUUUUUCGAGUUAUGUAGCUUGAAAGUUACAGUACCGCCGGCGUUAUCCAUGUACGCAUGCGCCUUAGUUGGCCAGAUCAAUUAUUACGUUUACACGGCGAUGUUAAACCGAUUUAGUAACAACCGUAGUUAGUGAUUUUUUGUAUUUAAUUGGAUCACAAUUUUAGAUUUAAAAGAAUGUACCAAUCUAACGAGAUUUCACUAACUAUGAUUGUUACUAAGCCGGAUUUACGUCGCCGUGUAAACGUAGUAAAUGAUCGGUCUUAGUUGGUCGGAUCGGUUUUGUCUUAUAAUUUAACAA